CGCACAUGCAAAGUCGCAUUUUAAAAGUUUCCGUUCGUUUUUCAACAUAUUAAAACAACUAUAAAAUAAGACUAAAAUUCAAACUAAAAUUACGUAAAAGAAUUCCUAUUUCUAUCUUAUCGGCAGGAAAACGAAAAAAUGUCCCAAUAGGCAAUAUAUUUAAAACUUUUUUUACGGCAUUAAUUAUUCAUCGAGAGAUCGUUAUGGCGAAAAGACGUAGAUAAAGUAUUAUUUUUAGCCAAGAAUGUGUCGCGUACGUGGGUGGUCGUGAGUGUCGCGAUACGAGAAAAAGUAUAUUUUAAAACCAAUAUUUUAUCGACCUUGCUUGUAAAACUUUUCUCGAUAAAGUUACGAUGCUUUUUAUUCCACCUUUUUGACAUCCGUUUUUGACACUCAUUUCGUUUGACAUCUUAUUUGGAUUUCCAUAUAUGGAGUGAAUUAAUUCAUGAAUCUGCACUUUUCCUACGCAUUUAGAUAUAUAUGACUUUAAUUUAAAAUCGUAAAUGUAAAUUAUAAGAAAGCUUCGGAUUAAUAGGGAUACAACUACCUGAAAAAUACAAGGAGAAUGUAGUAUUGUAGAUGUUUCGAGCGAAGGCCUUUCGUUGGGACCUUAGUAGCCAAAGGAACUUAGUAUAUCCUUCCCGAUGAAGGUCCUUCGCUCGAAACAUCGAAGUUCUCCUUGUAUUUUCAGGUAGUCGCAUCUCUACCAAUCCACAGGUUUCUUAGGCCAGGGUUCAAAAGUAGAACUUUUCAUGCGCCGAACCUAAUGCAAAUGAAGUGAAACAAAAAACUUAGCUCAUUAACAUUAGGUUCGGCACUUGAAAAGUUCGACGUUUGACCCUGGUCUUAUGAUUGCCACAACCUACACUGCCAUUCUAGAUUAACGUAAAAUAUUGCGUGUGAACCACGCGUGGCGUGGGGGUUACUUAAAAACUGAAAAAAAGUCAUGUAGGUGGUACAGCGCCACUUAAUGUAUAGCUAGCUUUCAAAAAACGUUUGGGGGCAGCAGUCCACUUUAGAACUGCCGACAUUUAUACAGAAGCAAGGAAUUAAAUUUGUUUCAUUAAAUUUGAGCGAUAGAAGGUUUUGAGAAGUGAAUUUUUUAACAAGAGGCUCACACUACACAACGAUAACUUGUAAACAUUUGC
Non-coding RNA from Paramuricea clavata, 1148 nucleotides. The record is from the annotation of a GenBank genome assembly. Lineage: Eukaryota; Metazoa; Cnidaria; Anthozoa; Malacalcyonacea; Plexauridae.